RNAcentral lists this ribosomal RNA (253 nucleotides) under uncultured bacterium. RNAcentral's name for it is "partial 16S ribosomal RNA". It matches the Rfam family "Bacterial small subunit ribosomal RNA", at positions 524 to 776 of the family's 1533-position model. The record is from RNAcentral.
UACAGAGGGUGCGAGCGUUAAUCGGAAUUACUGGGCGUAAAGCGUGCGUAGACGGUUAUAUAAGUCGGGUGUGAAAGCCCCGGGCUCAACCUGGGAAUUGCAUUCGAGACUGCAUAGCUAGGGUGCGGAAGAGGGAAGCGGAAUUUCCGGUGUAGCGGUGAAAUGCGUAGAUAUCGGAAGGAACACCUGUGGCGAAGGCGACCCCCUGGUUGGAUACUGACGCUGAGACGCGAAAGCGUGGGGAGCAAACAGG